UUAAACUGAAGAGUUUGAUCAUGGCUCAGAUUGAACGCUGGCGGCAGGCUUAACACAUGCAAGUCGAGCGGUAACAGGGGGUGCUUGCACUCCGCUGACGAGCGGCGGACGGGUGAGUAAUGCAUAGGAAACUGCCCAGUAGUGGGGGAUAGCCCGGGGAAACCCGGAUUAAUACCGCGUACGCCCUUCGGGGGAAAGCAGGGGAUCUUCGGACCUUGCGCUAUUGGAUGUGCCUAUGUCGGAUUAGCUAGUUGGUGGGGUAAAGGCCUACCAAGGCGACGAUCCGUAGCUGGUCUGAGAGGAUGAUCAGCCACAUCGGGACUGAGACACGGCCCGAACUCC
This 342-nucleotide ribosomal RNA is filed under the name Marinobacter adhaerens. Its description in RNAcentral is "bacterial SSU rRNA". It matches the Rfam family "Bacterial small subunit ribosomal RNA", at positions 1 to 339 of the family's 1533-position model. The record is from RNAcentral. Lineage: Bacteria; Pseudomonadati; Pseudomonadota; Gammaproteobacteria; Pseudomonadales; Marinobacteraceae.